GAUGAACGCUGGCGGCGUGCCUAAUACAUGCAAGUCGAGCGAACGGACGAGAAGCUUGCUUCUCUGAUGUUAGCGGCGGACGGGUGAGUAACACGUGGAUAACCUACCUAUAAGACUGGGAUAACUUCGGGAAACCGGAGCUAAUACCGGAUAAUAUUUUGAACCGCAUGGUUCAAAAGUGAAAGACGGUCUUGCUGUCACUUAUAGAUGGAUCCGCGCUGCAUUAGCUAGUUGGUAAGGUAACGGCUUACCAAGGCAACGAUGCAUAGCCGACCUGAGAGGGUGAUCGGCCACACUGGAACUGAGACACGGUCCAGACUCCUACGGGAGGCAGCAGUAGGGAAUCUUCCGCAAUGGGCGAAAGCCUGACGGAGCAACGCCGCGGGAGUGAUGAAGGUAUUCGGAUCGUAAAACUCUGUUAUUAGGGAAGAACAUAUGUGUAAGUAACUGUGCACAUCUUGACGGUACCUAAUCAGAAAGCCACGGCUAACUACGU
RNAcentral lists this ribosomal RNA (496 nucleotides) under uncultured bacterium. RNAcentral describes it as "partial 16S ribosomal RNA". It matches the Rfam family "Bacterial small subunit ribosomal RNA", at positions 28 to 506 of the family's 1533-position model. The record is from RNAcentral.